This 450-nucleotide ribosomal RNA is filed under the name uncultured bacterium. RNAcentral describes it as "partial 16S ribosomal RNA". It matches the Rfam family "Bacterial small subunit ribosomal RNA", at positions 354 to 796 of the family's 1533-position model. The record is from RNAcentral.
GUGGGGAAUUUUGGACAAUGGGCGCAAGCCUGAUCCAGCAAUGCCGCGUGCAGGAUGAAGGCCUUCGGGUUGUAAACUGCUUUUGUACGGAACGAAAAGCCCUGGGUUAAUACCCUGGGGUCAUGACGGUACCGUAAGAAUAAGCACCGGCUAACUACGUGCCAGCAGUCGCGGUAAUACGUAGGGUGCGAGCGUUAAUCGGAAUUACUGGGCGUAAAGCGUGCGCAGGCGGUUUUGUAAGACAGAGGUGAAAUCCCCGGGCUCAACCUGGGAACUGCCUUUGUGACUGCAAGGCUAGAGUACGGCAGAGGGGGAUGGAAUUCCGCGUGUAGCAGUGAAAUGCGUAGAUAUGCGGAGGAACACCGAUGGCGAAGGCAAUCCCCUGGGCCUGUACUGACGCUCAUGCACGAAAGCGUGGGGAGCAAACAGGAUUAGAUACCCCUGUAGUCC